GUGUGCAACUGCUUANUUGGGGAUAGCUUCCGAAGGAGAUAUACCCCAUAAUAUGUGGAUGGCAUCAUCGACAUUGAAACUCCGUGAUAAAGAUGGGCCGCGCAAGAUAAAUAGUGGUGAGGUACGGCUCACAGUCUACGAUCUUAGGGCCUGAGAGGUGAUCCCCACACUGGUACUGAGACACGGACAGACUCCUACGGGAGGCAGCAGUGAGGAAUAUUGGACAAUGGGUGAGAGCCUGAUCCAGCCAUCCCGCGUGAAGGACGACUGCCCUAUGGGUUGUAAACUUCUUUUGUAUAGGGAUAAACCUACCCUCGUGAGGGUAGCUGAAGGUACUAUAACGAAUAAGCACCGGGCUAACUCCGUGCCAGCAGCCGCGGUAAUACGGAGGGUGCAAGCGUUAUCCCGGAAUUUAUUGGGGGUUUAAAGGGUCCGUAGGCGGAUUCUGAAAGUCCAGGGGUGAAAUCUCACAGGUUUUAAUGGUGGAAAACUGGCCAUUUGAUACUGGCGGUCUUGGAGUGGUUGGUUGAAAGGUAAGCUGGAAUAAAGUAGUGGUAACGGGUGAAAAUGGCCUUAGAUUUUUACUUAGGAACCACCCAA
This 600-nucleotide ribosomal RNA is filed under the name uncultured bacterium. RNAcentral's name for it is "bacterial SSU rRNA". It matches the Rfam family "Bacterial small subunit ribosomal RNA", at positions 117 to 714 of the family's 1533-position model. The record is from RNAcentral.